This 305-nucleotide ribosomal RNA is filed under the name uncultured bacterium. RNAcentral describes it as "partial 16S ribosomal RNA". It matches the Rfam family "Bacterial small subunit ribosomal RNA", at positions 508 to 807 of the family's 1533-position model. The record is from RNAcentral.
ACAGCAGUCGCCGCGGUAAUACGUAGGGUGCGAGCGUUAAUCGGAAUUACUGGGCGUAAAGCGUGCGUAGGUGGUGGUUUAAGUCCGUUGUGAAAGCCCUGGGCUCAACCUGGGAAUUGCAGUGGAUACUGGGUCACCAGAGUGUGGUAGAGGAUAGUGGAAUUUCCGGUGUAGCAGUGAAAUGCGUAGAGAUCGGAAGGAACAUCUGUGGCGAAGGCGACUAUCUGGGCCAACACUGACACUGAGGCACGAAAGCGUGGGGAGCAAACAGGAUUAGAUACCCCGGUAGUCCCUGUCUCUUAUAC